Molecule: non-coding RNA, 951 nt
Filed under: Conus ermineus (Atlantic fish-hunting cone)
Lineage: Eukaryota; Metazoa; Mollusca; Gastropoda; Neogastropoda; Conidae
Description: 12S ribosomal RNA
Rfam family: Microsporidia small subunit ribosomal RNA (bases 208-950)
Source: RNAcentral
UUUCAUAGAUAGAAUAAGAUUACUAAUCUGAAUUAAGAAAAUAGUAAGCAAAGCUUGUUAAGUUAGAUAAUAAAACUUGGCUCUGAUUUUGAGUAUGGCGCACACUAAGAGAUACACAUGGCUUUUUUAGAGAGAGGUGAGGUGGAAGAUAUGAUAUUAAGAGUUAGCAAAAAGCCACGGUAAUAAGAUCUUCUAGGAUGUUAUAGUUAACAUGAUGUCCUGAAAUGCCCACUAACACCAGUGUUGAAGGUUAAGGAAAGAGCGAGAGCUCGUGUUAGUUUAGUGAAUUAAAUUUGGUUAAUUUGGUGCCAGCAUCCGCGGUUAAACCAAGAAAUUUAGUCAUUCUGUUACGGUAAAAAGACAGUUAAGCAGAGAUAAGGAUCGUUAGACCUUUAGUAUAGGAGUAAAAUCUAAAUACUAGAAGUUAUAUCGGAUACGGUUUAUUUAGAAUGCUGAAUCUGUGAUAGCUUUAAGGGAAACUGGGAUUGGAUACCCCAUUAUUUUUAGUCGUAAAUUAAGUUUGAGCUUACCAGAGUACUACGAAUAAAAAGUUUAAAACUCAAAGAGCUUGGCGGUGUUUUAGACCUCUCAGGGGAACCUGUCUCGUAAUCGACAAUCCACGUUAGACCUAACCCUUUAUGGCGAAACAGCCUGUAUACCGUCGUCGUCAGGUAACUUCUUAAAAUAUAGCAGUUAGCUUGAGAAUUUUAUUAAUUAAAACGUCAGAUCAAGGUGCAGCUGAUAAAAGGGUGAGGAUGGGUUACAAUUACACACUUGUAAAUACGAAAGGAUAUUUGAAAUAAAAUGACCUGAAGGAGGACUUGAAAGUAAUUUUAGAUAUAUAAAUAGAAUGAAUAAGGCUCUGAAACGUGCACACAUCGCCCGUCGCUCUCGUUGAAAAAUGAGAUAAGUCGUAACAUAGUAGGGGUAAUGGAAAUUGUUCCUAGGCUG